This 19-nucleotide ribosomal RNA is filed under the name Penicillium chrysogenum. RNAcentral's name for it is "partial 18S ribosomal RNA". RNAcentral also lists the same sequence under 23 other names. Lineage: Eukaryota; Fungi; Ascomycota; Eurotiomycetes; Eurotiales; Aspergillaceae. The record is from RNAcentral.
UGACUGCGGAGGAUCAUUA